UCAAACCAGUUUUUUUUUUUUUUUUUUUUUUUUUUUUACACAUAUGAAUAAAAUGCUUAUGCAAGGUAAUGUAAUUUAAAAGUGCAGUCAAGCAUAAUAUUUGGUCACUUUCCCAGUGUAAUGGCCUGGGGGUAUAUAAUUAUAUUUUGGCCAAAUGUCCCUUGUGUCUUUUAAUUUUAUUGGUGUUUUAAUUUGUCUUAUGUCAUUGGAUUGUUCUUGGAGAUUUUCCCUCCAAGAGUUAUGUUCUUUGUGGUCAGUCUUUAUUCAGUUUUGAAGAAGAGAGUUGAUUUCAGUAGAUCUGACAUAUUUUGACAAUUAGACAUAGACCGCCGUUUUUCCUCUUGAAUGAUCAAACCAGUUUGGUGUCAUCUGUAAAUAUUGUUCACUCGAGCCUAUUCCCAUAGAAUGGGUUUCAUCAUUUGACAAUUCGUGCAUUGGUAACUCCUGAAUAAACGUCUUGUCGAG
Ostrea edulis (European flat oyster) is the source of this 465-nucleotide long non-coding RNA. RefSeq lists it as uncharacterized. The record is from RefSeq and is a predicted model, not a curated record. The transcript is spliced from 3 exons. NCBI's taxonomy places the organism in Eukaryota, Metazoa, Mollusca, Bivalvia, Ostreida, Ostreidae.